GAUGAACGCUAGCGGCAGGCCUAACACAUGCAAGUCGAGGGGUAGAAGGAGCUUGCUCCUUUGAGACCGGCGCACGGGUGCGUAACGCGUAUGCAAUCUACCUUGUACAGGGGAAUAGCCCAGAGAAAUUUGGAUUAAUGCCCCAUAGUAUAUAACCUUCGCAUGUUGGUUAUAUUAAAGUUCCAACGGUACAAGAUGAGCAUGCGUCCCAUUAGUUAGUUGGUAAGGUAACGGCUUACCAAGACGAUGAUGGGUAGGGGUCCUGAGAGGGAGAUCCCCCACACUGGUACUGAGACACGGACCAGACUCCUACGGGAGGCAGCAGUGAGGAAUAGUGGUCAAUGGUCGCAAGACUGAACCAGCCAUGCCGCGUGCAGGAAGACGGUCCUAUGGAUGGUAAACUGCUUUUAUACAGGAAGAAACCCUCCCACGUGUGGGAGCUUGACGGUACUGGAGGGAUAAGGAUCGGCUAACUCCGUG
RNAcentral lists this ribosomal RNA (480 nucleotides) under uncultured bacterium. RNAcentral's name for it is "partial 16S ribosomal RNA". It matches the Rfam family "Bacterial small subunit ribosomal RNA", at positions 28 to 507 of the family's 1533-position model. The record is from RNAcentral.